RNAcentral lists this ribosomal RNA (489 nucleotides) under uncultured bacterium. RNAcentral's name for it is "partial 16S ribosomal RNA". It matches the Rfam family "Bacterial small subunit ribosomal RNA", at positions 30 to 507 of the family's 1533-position model. The record is from RNAcentral.
UUGCACGCUGGCGGCAUGCCUUACACAUGCAAGUCGCACGGCAGCAUGAUCUAGCUUGCUAGAUUGAUGGCGCGUGGCGAACGGGUGAGUAAUACAUCGGAACGUGCCCUGUAGUGGGGGAUAACUAGUCGAAAGAUUAGCUAAUACCGCAUACGACCUGAGGGUGAAAGUGGGGGACCGCAAGGCCUCAUGCUAUAGGAGCGGCCGAUGUCUGAUUAGCUAGUUGGUGAGGUAAAGGCUCACCAAGGCGACGAUCAGUAGCUGGUCUGAGAGGACGAUCAGCCACACUGGGACUGAGACACGGCCCAGACUCCUACGGGAGGCAGCAGUGGGGAAUUUUGGACAAUGGGCGAAAGCCUGAUCCAGCAAUGCCGCGUGUGUGAAGAAGGCCUUCGGGUUGUAAAGCACUUUUGUCCGGAAAGAAAUGGCUCUGGUUAAUACCUGGGGUCGAUGACGGUACCGGAAGAAUAAGGACCGGCUAACUACGUG